This is a long non-coding RNA of Oncorhynchus tshawytscha (Chinook salmon), 3402 nucleotides long. NCBI's taxonomy places the organism in Eukaryota, Metazoa, Chordata, Actinopteri, Salmoniformes, Salmonidae. The record is from Ensembl.
UUCAGUAACAAGCGAUAGACUACUUGGCAGGUGUCCACGUCCUUCAGUAACAAGCGAUAGACUACUUGGCAGGUGUCCACGUCCUUCAGUAACAAGCGAUAGACUACUUGGCAGGUGUCCACGUCCUUCAGUAAUUCUGAUAAUACAGUCCGUUCAGAAAGCAUUCAGACCCCUCCCCCUUUUCCACAUUUUGUUAUGUUAUUCUAAAAUGGAUUAAAUAAAAUAAAAAUAAAAGUCCAUUUACACACAAUACCCCAUAAUGACAUCACAAUACCCCAUAAUGACAUCACAAUACCCCAUAAUGACAUCACAAUACCCCAUAAUGACAAAGCAAAAACAGGUUAAGACAUUUUUGCUAACGUAUAAAACAAACCGAAGUAUCUUAUUUACAUACGUUUUCAGACCCUUUGCUAUGAGACUCAAUUGAGCUCCGGUGCAUCCUGUUCUCCAUUGAUCAUCCUUGAGAUGUUUCUACAAUUUGAAUGGAGUCCACCUGUGGUAAAUUCAAUGGAUUGGACAUGAUUUGGAAAGGCACACACCUGUCUAUAUAAGGUCCCACAGUUGACAGUGCAUGUCAGAGCAAAAACCAAGCCAUGAGGUCGAAGAAAUUGUCCGUAGAGCUCCGAGACAGGAUUAUGUCAAGGCACAGAUCCUGGGGAAGGGUACCAAAAUAUUUCUGUAGCAUUGAAGGUCCCCAAGAACAAAAUGGCCUCCAUUCUUAAAUGGAAGGAGUUUGGAACCACCAAGACUUCCUAGAGCUGGCCGCCUGGACAAACUAAGCAAUAGAGGGAGAAGAGUUCCAGAGUUCCUCUAUGGAGAUAGAUACAGGGGGUACCAGUACAGAGUCAAUAUGGAGGUUAUAUACAGGGUAUUACGGUACAGAGUCAAUAUGGAGGUUAUAUACAGGGUAUUACGAUACAGAGUCAAUAUGGAGACUAUAUACAGGGGGUACCGGUACAGAGUCAAUGUGUGGGGGCAUCGUUUAGGUGAGGUAAUAUGUACAUGUAGGUAGAUGUGCAAGGUUAACCCGCCGUACCUGUAGCUGGGUUAACCCGGAGCGCCUGGUAGCUGGGUUAACCCGGAGCGCCUGGUAGCUGGGUUAACCCGGAGCGCCUGGUAGCUGGGUUAACCCGGAGCGCCUGGUAGCUGGCCUUGCUCCACACUUGGUCAGUGAGUAGUGGAGCUGAGAGGGACUGAUCAACUCCAUCCCUAGACCACAUCAGUCAGUCUACUGUUAUCUUCUUUAGGGCUAGGCUCGACAAUAUCCGCUGAAAAGGCAGAGCGCGAAAUUCAAAAAUAUUUUUUGGAAAUAUUUCACUUGCAUACAUUCACAAGUGCAAUACACCAAAUAAAAUCUUAACUUCUUGUUAAUCUACCCAUCGUGUCUGAUUUUGAAAAAGGCUUUACAGUGAAAGCACACCAUGUGAUUGUUAGGUCACAAAAAAAACACAGCCAUUUUUCCAGCCAAAGAGAGGAGUCACAAAAAGCAGAAAUAGAGAAAAUUCUCUCCCACCUCACAGUAGAAGCCUGAAACAAGGUUCUAAAGACUGUUGACAUCUAGUGGAAGCCUUAGGCAGUUUACUCUGGGCUUUUCAUCUGAAAGUGAAAAUGCUGCCCCCUAUCCCAAACAGGUUUUCCUGCCUGUCCUGGCUGUCCCCACUAAAUCCCUAAUGGCCUGGCUGUCCUGACUGUCCCCACUUUCCACUAAUGCCCUGGCCUGCCUGGCCUGUCUGUCCCCACUAAAUCCCUAAUGGCCUGGCUGUCCCGACUGUCCCCACUUUCCACUAAUGCCCUGGCCUGUCUGUCCCCACUAAAUCCCUAAUGGCCUGGCUGUCCUGUCUGUCCCCACUUUCCACUAAUGCCCUGGCCUGCCUAUCCUGUCUGUCCCCACUAAAGCCCGAAUGGCCUGGCUGUCCUGACUGUCCCCACUUUCCACUAAUGCCCUGGCCUGCCUGGCCUGUCUGUCCCCACUAAAGCCCUAAUGCCUUGGCCUGGCUGUCCUGUCUGUCCCCACUAAAGCCCUAAUGCCUUGGCCUGGCUGUCCUGUCUGUCCCCACUAAAGCCCUAAUGGCCUGGCUGUCCUGACUGUCCCCACUUUCCACUAAUGCCCUGGCCUGCCUAUCCUGUCUGUCCCCACUAAUGCCCUGGCAUGUCUGUCCCCACUAAAGCCCUAAUGCCCUGGCAUGUCUGUCCCCACUAAAGCCCUAAUGCCCUGGCCUGGCUGUCCCCAUUAAAUCCCUAAUGCCCAAGCCUGCCUGUCCCCAUUAAAUCCCUAAUGCCCAAGCCUGCCUGUCCUGUCUGUCCCCACUUCCCACUAAUACCUUGGCCUGCCUGGCCUGUCUGUCCCCACUAAAGCCCUAAUGCCCUGGCCUGGCUGUCCUGUCUGUCCCCACUAAAGCCCUAAUGCCCAGGCCUGCCUGUCCCGUCUGUCCCCACUUCCCACUAAUACCCUGGCCACGUGCCACUCCUUUCCCCAUAGCAGCACAGGAAUGUGCAGAAGGGCUGAAUUGACCAGAGCAUGAUAAGAAUGUGGCCACUUUGCUCUCUCCAGUUAGGUUACGACUGUGGUCUGCUGUUUGUUCUGAGGGUUUAGUGUUGCUGAGCCUGGCUGGGGCUGCUGGUCCAUAACCCUGGACUAUCGUCACAGACACUACAUCUAUUUACACUGGAAUCUCUCCUGUUUGAUACGGAUAUGUUGGUGCUUUCAUUAUGACACCGUCGUUGUGGUUCUGGACUGGGCCUGUCAGUCUGGUUUCAUUAUGUUACCGGCCGUAUCGUUGUGGUUCUGGACUGGGCCUGUCAGUCUGGUUUCAUUAUGUUACCGGCCGUAUCGUUGUGGUUCUGGACUGGGCCUGUCAGUCUGGUUUCAUUAUGUCUCCCUGGCCAUAUCGUUGUGGUUCUGGACUGGGCCUGUCAGUCUGGUUUCAUUAUGUCACCGGCUGUAUCGUUGUGGGUCUGGACUGGGCCUGUCAGUCUGGUUUCAUUAUGUCUCCCUGGCCAUAUCGUUGUGGGUCUGGACUGGGCCUGUCAGUCUGGUUUCAGUGUCUAAGCUUGGUGGCUUGUUUGGAGCUAGUGGGCCCAACUAUGUUGUCCAUCGAUGUAUCUGGCUGCUGGAGUGUCCCUGCUCCUCAUUUAGAAGGGAUUUAUCUGAAGGUGGAGGAGGUCUGUGUUCGUCGAGGCCUGGACCUCGUCUCACGCUGCCAGAAACUAUAGAAGAUGACAUUAUUACUGAGAGGUCAUUGAGAGACUGGCCUCUGAGCUAUAGGCAUGACAUUCUGGUUGUGGGUGGUGAUUUCUCCCUGUUGUAUCUGAGGCUCAGUCAGGAGACAACCCUCCCUGUUGUAUCUGAGGCUCAGUCAGGAGACAACCCUCCCUGUUGUAUCUGAGGCUCAGUCAGGAGAC